GUCCCAGCUGUAAACGAUGCUCACUAGGUGUUGGGGGGUUACUCCCUCAGUGCCGCAGCUAACGCAUUAAGUGAGCCGCCUGGGGAGUACGGCCGCAAGGUUGAAACUCAAAGGAAUUGACGGGGGCCCGCACAAGCGGUGGAGCAUGUGGUUUAAUUCGAUGCUAAGCGAAGAACCUUACCAGGGUUUGACAUGCAGGCAGUACCGAACUGAAAGGGGAGGGACUCGUAAAGUCGAGAUCCUGCACAGGUGGUGCAUGGCUGUCGU
RNAcentral lists this ribosomal RNA (267 nucleotides) under uncultured bacterium. RNAcentral describes it as "partial 16S ribosomal RNA". It matches the Rfam family "Bacterial small subunit ribosomal RNA", at positions 793 to 1055 of the family's 1533-position model. The record is from RNAcentral.